Molecule: long non-coding RNA, 597 nt
Filed under: Homo sapiens (human)
Lineage: Eukaryota; Metazoa; Chordata; Mammalia; Primates; Hominidae
Description: HSALNT0105568
Source: RNAcentral
UCAGAGGGCUGUUGGAGGAGUAGAUGAGGUGCUACAUGCAGGGCCCUGAGAACUGUCCUGUCGCUCAGGAAGCAAGUUUUGCAGGGUGUGGACAAUCGGGCAAGUGACUGCAUGUGACAACAGAGAGAGGGCAUGGUACACGGUGGCAGAUGAGCCCGGGACUGGAGGCAGAUCUGGGUUCCAGUUCGGGCUCUACCAGCAGCACCCAUGUGUCCUUCUGUUCUCUGGGCCUCAAUUUCCUGUUGUAAAAUUCAGAACUUGGAAGAGCAGGCCUGAGCAUUAGAAGACUGAGAAACACCUGGGAGGAUCUUGUUUCAACAGAGCUCAAAGCCGUGGCAAAAGGACGGAGCUCGAAUUGUGCAAUUAAACCCAGGCCCCCAGCAAAUGGAAAAUGCCAUCCACUGGCACAGAGACUUCAGUUGGGAGCCGAGGACUGAACUCAGACCACCAUUCUUUGUUCAACAUUUCUUCCUGAGGGGCCUGGAGGAAGUCACACCCACAGGCCAGAGCUCAACAUUCCUUUCUGCUGACCCCAGGCACCAGUCCAUGGCACUCCCUAUGCCUGCAGGAUACCACAUCAAAGCAGAGUUGGGGGAG